CUGGGUCUGGGCUCCGUGCCCGCUACCCGCCCUUUGUCAUGAGACGCGAAAGCAACUCACAUCGCUUCGGCCACGGGCGAUGCCCCCCGUUCAUUCGCGGGGUGGACCCGCGGCCGGCCUCACAAACCCACGCGAAUUUUGAGGUCUGAUCAAACGAAAAACGAAAAGCA
Molecule: unclassified non-coding RNA, 170 nt
Filed under: uncultured Venturiaceae
Lineage: Eukaryota; Fungi; Ascomycota; Dothideomycetes; Venturiales; Venturiaceae
Description: sequence contains ITS1
Source: RNAcentral